This 484-nucleotide ribosomal RNA is filed under the name uncultured bacterium. Its description in RNAcentral is "partial 16S ribosomal RNA". It matches the Rfam family "Bacterial small subunit ribosomal RNA", at positions 30 to 507 of the family's 1533-position model. The record is from RNAcentral.
AUUGAACGCUGGCGGCAGGCCUAACACAUGCAAGUCGAGCGGUAGAGAGAAGCUUGCUUCUCUUGAGAGCGGCGGACGGGUGAGUAAUGCCUAGGAAUCUGCCUGGUAGUGGGGGAUAACGUUCGGAAACGGACGCUAAUACCGCAUACGUCCUACGGGAGAAAGCAGGGGACCUUCGGGCCUUGCGCUAUCAAAUGAGCCUAGGUCGGAUUAGCUAGUUGGUGGGGUAAUGGCUCACCAAGGCGACGAUCCGUAACUGGUCUGAGAGGAUGAUCAGUCACACUGGAACUGAGACACGGUCCAGACUCCUACGGGAGGCAGCAGUGGGGAAUAUUGGACAAUGGGCGAAAGCCUGAUCCAGCCAUGCCGCGUGUGUGAAGAAGGUCUUCGGAUUGUAAAGCACUUUAAGUUGGGAGGAAGGGCAGUAAAUUAAUACUUUGCUGUUUUGACGUUACCGACAGAAUAAGCACCGGCUAACUCUGUG